Molecule: long non-coding RNA, 206 nt
Filed under: Elaeis guineensis (African oil palm)
Lineage: Eukaryota; Viridiplantae; Streptophyta; Magnoliopsida; Arecales; Arecaceae
Description: long non-coding RNA (EGUI_LNC044431)
Source: RNAcentral
CGGACCAGGAGCGAAAAGCUGAUACUGCUCCGAGAUACGGUACUGUUUCCAGAGCCAUUCAAUAUUAGAUCCGAAAAAGGAAGAAACUUUUAUUUUCAGAUCUGAAAGAGAGUCGUCAGUUGGAUUCUCCGAUCGACUAUCCUGAGAAGAUAAGAUCUUCUUACUGGUCAUGAAAAUGAAAAACUAGAAAAGAAGAGAAAAAAUCC